RNAcentral lists this ribosomal RNA (2238 nucleotides) under Patescibacteria group bacterium. RNAcentral describes it as "partial 23S ribosomal RNA". It matches the Rfam family "Bacterial large subunit ribosomal RNA", at positions 1 to 1998 of the family's 2925-position model. The record is from RNAcentral.
AUUGUAGAGUAUUAAUGUAUACGGAGGAUGCCUUGGGUCUUUGUGCCGAUGAAGGACGUGCUAGGCUGCGUUAAGUUUCGAGGAGCUGCCAAGAAGCGCUAUCACUCGAAAAUGUCCGAAUGGGGAAACCCGGUCUAUAGAAAUAUAAGGUCGCCAUAUAAUAAAACUUAGCAGUUUACUGCUGGGCAUAGUUAUAUUGGAGGGUACUCAGCGAAUUGAAACAACUUAGUAGCUGAAGGAAAAGAAACUAAAUUAAGUAUUUCCUAAGUAGCGGCGAGCGAAAAGGAAGAAGCCCAAACCCAAUCUGAAUUUAAAAUUAUUUACUGCGAUUUGCGGUUGCAUAAGCGGAGUAAAUACGGUAAGCAAUUUUAAAUUCAGACCCUGGGGGUGUGGACAACCCACGCCAGACACGCAAGUGGACUGGGAAAGGUUACAAAUUUUUUUGGUAGGAGAAGCCAGAUGAAAAGCUGCGCCAAAGCGGGUUACAGCCCCUUAUCCGAAACCAAAAAAACCUUUUGGGUUGUUCCCGAGUAGCAUGGGACACGUGUAAUCCUGUGUGAAAAUAGCGGGACCAUCCGCGAAGGCUAAAUACACAAAGACACCGAUAGUGUAGCAGUACCGUGAGGGAAAGGUGAAAAGAACCCCUGUUAGGGGAGUGAAAUAGAUUCUGAAACCGUAUACAAACAAACAGCCGGAGCCUUACCGCAAGGUGGGUGACGGUGUGCCUAUUGAAGAAUGAGCCAACGAGUUUAGUUUGCACGCAAGCUUAAGCAUCUCAGAUGUGGAGGCGUAGGGAAACCGAGUCUUAAAAGGGCGCGCUGUUUUUUCAGCUAAGUGUGUAAACUAAGACCCGAAGCCAAGUGAGCUAACCAUGAGCAGGAUGAAGCUGGAGUAAAACCCAGUGGAGGUCCGAACCGGUGUGUGAGGAAAAACGCUCGGAUGACUUGUGGUUAGGGGUGAAACGCUAAACGAACUUGGCGAUAGCUGGUUCUCCUCGAAAUAUAUUUAGGUAUAGCCUCAAGUAAAGAGCAUGUAAGAGGUAGAGAUACUGGAAUGGGAGUGGGCUCGCAAGAGUACCCUUCUAUACCAAACUCCGAAUGCUUGCAUGUGUUCCUUGGGAGUCAGUGCUGGAGAGCAAGUUUCUAGCACAAAAGGGCAACAACCCAGACCAUCAGCUAAGGUCCCUAAUUUCUACUAAGUGGGUAAGGUAGUGGAAUUGUUAAGACAGCUAGGAGGUUGGCUUAGAAGCAGCCAUCCUUUAAAGAAAGCGUAACAGCUCACUAGUUUAACGAUUCUGCGCCGAUAAAUUCAACGGGGCUAAGUAGAAAACCGACGCUAUGGGUUUAUGCAUUUAUUUGCAUAGACGGUAGAGGAGCUUUGAUGUUGUGGUGAAGGUGUAUCCGUGAGGAGCGCUGGAACGGCAUCAAGUGAGAAUGUUGGCAUGAGUAACGAGAGAGUGGUGAAAACCCACUCCGCCGGAAGUCUAAGGUUUCCUCCGCUAUGGCAGUCAACGGAGGGUUAGCCGACCCUAAGAUAAGGCCGAAAGGCGUAGUCGAUGGACAGCAGGUUAAUAUUCCUGCGCUUUCAGGCAAUCGCAUACAUCCGCAAGGAUGGACGCGCAAGCGUCAAACCGAUGGAAGGACGGAGUCUGACUCUCCAAGCCCAUUAUGGAUUUGGGUCCAAAAAGCAAGACAGUUCGUGUUGGCAAAUCCGCACGAGCGUUUAUUCGAGCUUAUGGAAAAGAUUUCGCAAGAAGUCUAAUUUGGAAGGGUUAAGUUUCCAAGAAAAUUUUCUAGGGAGAUUGUUUGAAAUUCGUACCGCAAUCCGACACAGGUAGACAAGUUGAGAAUACUAAGGCGAACGAGAUAACCGUGGCCGAGGAACUAGGCAAAUUACAUCCGUAACCUCGGGAAAAGGAUGCCCUGCCGCAAGGUAGGGGUCACAAAAAAGGCUCAAGCGACUGUUUAACAAAAACACAGGUCUCUGCUUAACCCGUAAGGGGACGUAUAGGGGCCGACGCCUGCCCAGUGCCCGUAAGUUAAAUCUGGAGGUCAAUCUAUUUAUUUAGAUGAAGCUUUCGGUACAAGCUCGGGUGAACGGCAGCAGUAACUAUAACUGUAGUAGUAGGGCAGUUGAGAACAGUCUUGUUAAAAGCAAGUAUUUGCUGUUCCUUCUAAUCAUGAAAAGUAGUUGGAAGAAAAAUUUGGCUAUAUGCUGGGACGUCCGUCCACAUUAAUU